CAAACCAUAAAUAUGUAUAUAUGUGUAUUACGGCCUAUCAAAACAUUUAUAACCGAACACCGCUCAUAAUCGAUUUUCAUUAGCAAUGGUUAGUCGUACAAAUCGAAAACAUUGAAUUUCCUCUCUACUUCCCAAAUUCUAACCUACAACAGCGGCCCACUGAUAACUGAACUGAUAACAGAAAGAGAUGGGUCCGCGGGCCCACAUUGUUAGAACCGUAACUGGAGGCGUACAGUUUAGGACGUUUAGGGCCAUGACGGGUCCGGGUGUUGGCUAUCUGCAUUUUCUAAUAAUGUCUGUAACUAUAGGCAAACCAUACGGCGCAGGGUAAUAUUGGAAAAGCUUCGUCCGUGUUAUAAUAUUAUACUAAUAUGUGUAUAUGGUGUACACACGUGUCCCGCACAACGGACUGCGGAUUUCUAUGGAAAUCGUGUCAAACCGUCCGUACUAUUAUUUUAUCGAGUUCAAUCGUAUCACAUGUACUAUAUUAUGUAUUAAGUACGCGUUGCACAACUCGAGUGUUAUUAAAUUAUUGUUAUUAUUAUUAUAGCUCGUUCGGUUUGGAAUAGGAUAAACAUUUGUGUUGCUAUAUUCAAUAUUCGUUAAAUUUAAUAGUUCCCUAUAAAAUAUUCCCGGUGCGCGAGAAAUGACGCAGUAUUGCGAGGUUGAAAAUUCGAAUAAAACGUAAUUUAUUAUAUUUAGGACGACGCGACAAUUGCGUCGUUUCGCAGUAGGUCGUAUUUUAUUACUAUAUAGACCGAGAUGGAAACGUGUUUUCCAAAUUUCCGACCGUAAGAUUAGGAAGAAACAAAGGGGGGGGGGAAAGGAGAGGAGUUUCCUCCCUCCCGAGAAUCGUUUUAUAGUUACGCCAAAAAUCGUUGCCGAACGUUCCUAUAUACGCGCACACCGUAUACCCGCGGCGUAUCUGAACGUAACAGACGCGGAUUUACCGCGCGCGUAAACCCGACCGAAACGA
Molecule: non-coding RNA, 976 nt
Organism: Cinara cedri
Lineage: Eukaryota; Metazoa; Arthropoda; Insecta; Hemiptera; Aphididae
Source: the annotation of a GenBank genome assembly